Molecule: ribosomal RNA, 505 nt
Filed under: uncultured bacterium
Lineage: Bacteria
Description: partial 16S ribosomal RNA
Rfam family: Bacterial small subunit ribosomal RNA
Source: RNAcentral
GACGAACGCUGGCGGCGUGCCUAAUACAUGCAAGUAGAACGCACAGUUUAUACCGUAGCUUGCUACACCAUAGACUGUGAGUUGCGAACGGGUGAGUAACGCGUAGGUAACCUGCCUGGUAGCGGGGGAUAACUAUUGGAAACGAUAGCUAAUACCGCAUAAUAUUGAUUAUUGCAUGAUAAUUGAUUGAAAGAUGCUAUUGCAUCACUACCAGAUGGACCUGCGUUGUAUUAGCUAGUAGGUGAGGUAACGACUCACCUAGGCGACGAUACAUAGCCGACCUGAGAGGGUGAUCGGCCAAACUGGGAAUGAGACAAGGCACAGAAUACUAAGGGAGGCAGCAGUAGGGAAUCUUCGGCAAUGGACGAAAGUCUGACCGAGCAACGCCGCGUGAGUGAAGAAGGUUUUCGGAUCGUAAAGCUCUGUUGUAAGAGAAGAAAGGGUGUGAGAGUGGAAAGUUCACACUGUGACGGUAUCUUACCAGAAAGGGACGGCUAACUACGUG